CCUACGGGUGGCAGCAGUGAGGAAUAUUGGGCAAUGGACGAGAGUCUGAACCAGCCAAGUAGCGUGAAGGAUGACUGCUCUAUGGGUUGUAAACUUCUUUUAUAUGGGAAUAAAAUGUUACAGGUGCGGGAUUAUGUAUGUACCAUAUGAAUAAGGAUCGGCUAACUCCGUGCCAGCAGCCGCGGUAAUACGGAGGAUCCGAGCGUUAUCCGGAUUUAGUGGGUUUAAAGGGAGCGUAGGUGGAUUGUUAAGUCAGUUGUGAAAGUUUGCGGCUCAACCUUAAAAUUGCAGUUGAAACUGGCAGUCUUGAGUACAGUAGAGGCGGGCGGAAUUCGUAGUGUAGCGGUGAAAUGCUUAGAUAUCACGAAGAACUCCGAUUGCGAAGGCAGCUCACUGGACUGCAACUGACACUGAGGCUCGAAAGUGUGGGUAGCAAACAGGAUUAGAUACCCUGGUAGUC
Molecule: ribosomal RNA, 460 nt
Filed under: uncultured bacterium
Lineage: Bacteria
Description: partial 16S ribosomal RNA
Rfam family: Bacterial small subunit ribosomal RNA
Source: RNAcentral